Molecule: ribosomal RNA, 972 nt
Filed under: Triticum aestivum (bread wheat)
Lineage: Eukaryota; Viridiplantae; Streptophyta; Magnoliopsida; Poales; Poaceae
Description: partial small subunit ribosomal RNA
Source: RNAcentral
AUGGAAGCCGCUGCCGCUGCCGCUGCGAGCCCCGAUAGCUCGUCGCUGGAAGCCGUGGCCACCGUCUUCCGGUCCCGCGUCAACGAGCUCCAGGACCUCGCCCUUGCCCGCAACAUGUACCCGGCAACGGCGGUGACCGACCUCACCGCCGUGGACACGUCGGUGACGGCCAUGGAGGCACAGGUGCAGGCCAUCCGCCGCCGCCUGCAGGAGGAGCUCGACGCCAUCCCGAAGGCCAAGAAACUAGUGGAGAAGUCCUUGAAGCAACAGCAGAAGUUGCAGCAUAUGCUUGCAAACAUGCCACCUGGGAUGCGUGAGGAUAUCGUUGCUACUCCUCUGGAACAAAGCUUGAUGUUGCCCGAGUGCUUUAAUUUUAACACAGCUGUUCCAGAAUUUCUGGACUCUGAUUUUAAGAUUAAGGAAGAGCCAGUUGCAGCUCCCAAAAAGGGGAAAGGUUCAGCACCUCGUUGGUAUAUAUCCACUGAGGAGCUUGAUUCAUUGUCAUCAGCCAAGACAUGGGAUAGUGUUGAUGAAUCUGCUCUGUCAAAUCUGCUUUGUUUGCAUAGCAUAAUCUUUCUGCUGCCUGUAGGCCUCACAUGUACCGAGGAAGGAAUUUGGUUUAUUAUUGUCAUCCAGUUACCAAGGUACAUGAGGGGGAGGCUAACAUUGGAGAAGGUUAACAUUUCGAUAAACGAGGUGGCUACAUAUGCAGAUGCUAAUGCUCAUCUUGUUGCAUGUCCUAAGAAAAAGUUAUCAGAAGACACAUGGGAAAAAGCUUUGGAACUAAGGGACAUAGCUGCCACUGAGGCAGUGAAGGGGAAGCAUUUCUUCCUGGAAGCUGAUAUAAAGGGGCCUGGGCUAAAACUUGAUCACACAGGCAAAGCUAUCCUUACCGUCCUUCGUCAUCUUGGUCGCAUCCAUGAAACCCGGAUUGGGCAUCAUCGGGUCUUCAUACUUUCAAAACAAUGCUGA